This 253-nucleotide ribosomal RNA is filed under the name uncultured bacterium. RNAcentral describes it as "partial 16S ribosomal RNA". It matches the Rfam family "Bacterial small subunit ribosomal RNA", at positions 524 to 776 of the family's 1533-position model. RNAcentral also lists the same sequence under 1 other name. The record is from RNAcentral.
UACGAAGGACCCGAGCGUUAUCCGGAUUUAUUGGGUUUAAAGGGUGCGUAGGCGGAUUAGUAAGUCAGUGGUGAAAGCCCAUCGCUCAACGGUGGAACUGCCAUUGAUACUGCUAGUCUUGAGUAUGGUUGAGGUGGGCGGAAUGUGUCAUGUAGCGGUGAAAUGCUUAGAUAUGACACAGAACACCAAUUGCGAAGGCAGCUCGCUAAACCAUAACUGACGCUGAGGCACGAAAGCGUGGGGAGCAAACAGG